This 305-nucleotide ribosomal RNA is filed under the name uncultured bacterium. Its description in RNAcentral is "partial 16S ribosomal RNA". It matches the Rfam family "Bacterial small subunit ribosomal RNA", at positions 506 to 807 of the family's 1533-position model. The record is from RNAcentral.
ACAGCAGUAGCCGCGGUAAUACGUAGGGUGCAAGCGUUAAUCGGAAUUACUGGGCGUAAAGCGUGCGCAGGCGGUUUGUUAAGACAGAUGUGAAAUCCCCGGGCUCAACCUGGGAACUGCAUUUGUGACUGGCAAGCUAGAGUGUGGCAGAGGGGGGUGGAAUUCCGCGUGUAGCGGUGAAAUGCGUAGAGAUCGGGAGGAACAUCAGUGGCGAAGGCGGCCAUCUGGGACAACACUGACGCUGAGGCACGAAAGCGUGGGGAGCAAACAGGAUUAGAUACCCCCGUAGUCCCUGUCUCUUAUAC